UACGAAGGGGGCUAGCGUUGCUCGGAAUCACUGGGCGUAAAGCGCACGUAGGCGGAUCUUUAAGUCAGGGGUGAAAUCCCAGAGCUCAACUCUGGAACUGCCUUUGAUACUGGGGAUCUCGAGUUCGGGAGAGGUGAGUGGAACUGCGAGUGUAGAGGUGAAAUUCGUAGAUAUUCGGAAGAACACCAGUGGCGAAAGGCGACUUACUGGACACAUAUUGACGCUGGAGGUGACGAAAGCGUGGGGAGCAAACAGG
Molecule: ribosomal RNA, 256 nt
Filed under: uncultured bacterium
Lineage: Bacteria
Description: partial 16S ribosomal RNA
Rfam family: Bacterial small subunit ribosomal RNA
Source: RNAcentral